This 423-nucleotide ribosomal RNA is filed under the name uncultured bacterium. RNAcentral's name for it is "bacterial SSU rRNA". It matches the Rfam family "Bacterial small subunit ribosomal RNA", at positions 355 to 775 of the family's 1533-position model. The record is from RNAcentral.
UAAGGAAUAUUGGUCAAUGGACGCAAGUCUGAACCAGCCAUGCCGCGUGGAGGAUGAAGGUCCUCUGGAUUGUAAACUUCUUUUAUUUGGGAAGAAAUGUAGACAUUCUUGUUUACUUGACGGUACCAGAUGAAUAAGCACCGGCUAACUCCGUGCCAGCAGCCGCGGUAAUACGGAGGGUGCAAGCGUUAUCCGGAUUCACUGGGUUUAAAGGGUGCGUAGGCGGGCAGGUAAGUCAGUGGUGAAAUCUUCGAGCUUAACUCGGAAACUGCCAUUGAUACUAUCUAUCUUGAAUAUUGUGGAGGUUAGCGGAAUAUGUCAUGUAGCGGUGAAAUGCUUAGAUAUGACAUAGAACACCCAUUGCGAAGGCAGCUAACUACGCAUAUAUUGACGCUGAGGCACGAAAGCGUGGGGAUCAAACAG